GUUGGCAUUGGAGUUGUAGAGUGGCGAGCCAGCGUCUUGCCCCGAAGGCCAGCCCACUGUUGACGAUGUUUCGGUACAUUGUGUGGACUGUGCUCUUCUCGCAUUCCAUGUGCUCCACCCAUGUUACCUAACGACACCAAUUGGCCAUUGGAAGUAUCUUGAAUAAUGCAGCCUGAGGGACGUUUUCUGCAAUUGAGGAGAGAAGCCUCAGUACUGUCCUGCACUUUGUCUAUGGAUACAUCAACGAUGGCCCACUCUUCUUCCUUUAGUUGCUUGCAAUACCUCACAAAAUACACUUCUCUACUCCCCACCAUAGGUGUCAGCAUUUGCACCUCGCUGAACAUCUGCACUCGUCUCAUCAAUACAUUAUAUAUUAGUGUUUUUUACUAUAAAUAAAACAAACCACACAUAUGAUAUAUUCACGUAUUCAUGUAUUAUAAUAUAGCGUGUGUAAGCAGAUUUAUAGUGCCUGCCGCCCUGUAAUAUCCAAAAUCCCAGCCCUUCGUUUGGGGGAAGCUGAAAUGAAACUUAGAUUUUGGGCAUCGGGACAGUAGAAAUGGGCAGCAAACAACACCCCGAGUCUUA
This is a long non-coding RNA of Prosopis cineraria, 585 nucleotides long. RefSeq lists it as uncharacterized. The transcript has 2 exons. The record is from RefSeq and is a predicted model, not a curated record. NCBI's taxonomy places the organism in Eukaryota, Viridiplantae, Streptophyta, Magnoliopsida, Fabales, Fabaceae.